RNAcentral lists this ribosomal RNA (291 nucleotides) under uncultured bacterium. RNAcentral's name for it is "partial 16S ribosomal RNA". It matches the Rfam family "Bacterial small subunit ribosomal RNA", at positions 338 to 620 of the family's 1533-position model. The record is from RNAcentral.
CCUACGGGGGGCAGCAGUAGGGAAUCUUCCACAAUGGACGAAAGUCUGAUGGAGCAACGCCGCGUGAGUGAAGAAGGGUUUCGGCUCGUAAAGCUCUUUUGGUAGUGAAGAAAGAUAGAGGUAGUAACUGGCCUUUAUUUGACGGUAAUUACUUAGAAAGUCACGGCUAACUACGUGCCAGCAGCCGCGGUAAUACGUAGGUGGCAAGCGUUUUCCGGAUUUAUUGGGCGUAAAGCGAGGGCAGGCGGGUUCAUAAGUCUGUUUUUAAAAACCUUUGCGCAAACCGAGAAU